RNAcentral lists this unclassified non-coding RNA (2212 nucleotides) under Hevea brasiliensis (rubber tree). Lineage: Eukaryota; Viridiplantae; Streptophyta; Magnoliopsida; Malpighiales; Euphorbiaceae. The record is from RNAcentral.
GUGUGAACUCAAAACGGAACAAUGGUACCUUACAAGAGAAAUGCUUUGGUGAGUGUCAUGAGUCCCGUCCCAUGUACUUCUGUUUAGGCUUAAUUAACAUGCUCAUAUAUGGCGCUAGGUUACAUGAAAAUGAAAGACAACGUAGAUGCAAAUUACACUUUUCCAUUGAAUUCUUUCUGCCAACAGCACAUCACAGACGACUAUAAAGGUUCAUGUUAGGAUCCGUUCCUAACAUGAACCUAAGGGGUUUGGUUUUCCCAGGAAGACAAGCUAUCACACUGACUAAACAGUACAUAAAUGACCUUAUCCGGUCCAUAUUUCCAAUUUAAAAGCAGAAAGGGACCAGACUCUAAGAUGGGAGUGGCAUUUUGGAACUCCCAACAAUCUACAAACUCGUGUAUAAAUAUGCUAUCUUCACAGAGUCCCCUUCGGCACCCCCAAAAUUUAGAGUACUACCUAAUGAACGUGUAUCAGGAGUUUUCCUUGACAACAUUCACCAACCAAACUACUACCUCCUAUUUCCUUUGCUUCACAGUUUAUUCUUACCUCACUAGCCUUUUCCUCAUGGGUGUACACUAAGUUACGCAACAUCUGAACAACUUUUCUUUUUUUUACUGUUCAAUUCUGAGUAGGUGUACAAUGUGCUUCUACAGACAACCGCUUCAGUACGUUGGGGCAGGGAUCUUCUCCAAAGUUGCUAUUUGAUAUUGUCACAGCACAUGUUUGGCGUCCUAGACAUUUCUUUUCUACAACGGCGUGUGAGUCGGGAGCAUGGCAAGUUCCUUGCUUGAAGCUCCCACAGGUUCCGAGAGGAGUUCCGAAGCUUGCAAAUUUAAUGGAGGAAAUAGAUUGACCAGGAGCACAGUGAAUGCGAACUUUGGGUAGGUGAAACUCUUCGGUUUUGCCGUAGUUCUCAAUUUGCCAGUUCUUAAUGUUUGGAUGAUAUUCAGCUACAUUCGAACAUACGUUAGUGACUGAUCUUUUCACGAGAGAAAUUCUUGUGGGAUCUCCGCCAAGUUCUUCAAAAAGCACCAACAGAUUUUGAGUGGGUUUUAACCAAGACCGAGGAACAUGGUACCAUUUUUGAGUUGGUUCCCCACAUCCCAGUUGACAUUUUGGAGGCCGAAAAACUCCAGAAUAUUGGCACCCAUUGCAAUCUCCAGUAGCAUAUGCAGUCCAAUAUCUACCAAUACUCUGGCCAUUAAUCCAUACUUGACCUUUACCCAUACUGCUCAUGUCCAAAGCCAAUGGCUCAUCUCCUUCGGGUGUAUUGAAGUAAGCCUUAUGCCAUGUCAAGGGUUGUUGUUUCUGUGCAAUUAAUGAACCUUGCAUCCAGUCAACGGCAGAAAUACCAUUUGUCGAAACAAGAUUCAUGGCCUCCCCUUUAAGCCCAACCUGAUAUGUCCACUUUGCCCAGGACAAGUCCCAUUUUCCAUGGUCAAGUCCUUGAAUUGCAACAGGACCUAGUACGCCAGUGCUCCAUGUUUCAAAAUGUCCACCAAUGUUCGGCAGCCCGACAGCCACGCUAAGCAGUGCAAUUCUGUUUGAGCCAGCACGAAGAUUGACUUUUCCUUUAAAUACAAAUCUCCUAUUCUUCCUUGUCCCAAAUGCAGAACCUGAGAGCUGACCAUUAAUAAACACAUGCAUAGCAUGGCCUGUUGUCUCAACUAUAAGAGUAGGGAGCUCUCCACCAUGCAAGAAGGACUCAGUUGAACCAAUAUCAACACUAGUUAUGUACCACAAAUAAUCACUUGUAUCUCUGGUUACAUUUAUUUGCUCCAAGAGACCAAAAGACCUAAUUGAUGAGCUGUCAUCUAAUGCAGAUAUAUCUUCACUGUAAGUCUCCCAAGAUAGCAUCUCUGAGUUAGUCGGUAGCAUUUCCAUCUUUGAUGUUUGAACUCCAACUUUGGCCGUGUUGAAGACUACAUUUCUGCAAUCAGGAAGGAUGCUAAUGGACCAAGGAGGCAAAUUAUAGUGCAUAUUAUUGAACAUUACUCUAGCAGCAGAUUUCCAGUCAUUGUUUGACAAGAAAGCUGCACAACCCCCUGUCUCUGAAGAGUACACAUAUGCUUGUUGAAGGUUUCCCAAGGAUGUGAUUGCUGGAUCUGCAGAAACUAUGGAUUUCUCACACAUCUUGACAGCUCUAUGAAGCUCCUUGAGAUGACCAUAUUUUGGCUGUCUGAUCAAACCAUACUCAUCAAUUGGAGCAUCA